CACUCUCCUAUCGACUCCUCUACUCCACCGCCAUGAGAGGCACAGGUGGAAUUGACUUGGGAGUGGCAGCAGUUGACCGACCACAGUGAAGGCACAGUGAG
Gopherus evgoodei (Goodes thornscrub tortoise) is the source of this 101-nucleotide long non-coding RNA. RefSeq lists it as uncharacterized. Lineage: Eukaryota; Metazoa; Chordata; Testudines; Testudinidae. The transcript is spliced from 4 exons. The record is from RefSeq and is a predicted model, not a curated record.